UACGUAGGGUGCAAGCGUUGUCCGGAAUUAUUGGGCGUAAAGAGCUCGUAGGCGGUCCGUCACGUCGGCUGUGAAAACCCGGGGCUCAACCCCGGGCCUGCAGUCGAUACGGGCGGACUAGAGUUCGGCAGGGGAGACUGGAAUUCCUGGUGUAGCGGUGAAAUGCGCAGAUAUCAGGAGGAACACCGGUGGCGAAGGCGGUUCUCUGGGCCUUACCUGACGCUGAGGAGCGAAAGCGUGGGGAGCGAACAGG
RNAcentral lists this ribosomal RNA (253 nucleotides) under uncultured bacterium. RNAcentral describes it as "partial 16S ribosomal RNA". It matches the Rfam family "Bacterial small subunit ribosomal RNA", at positions 524 to 776 of the family's 1533-position model. The record is from RNAcentral.